CCUACGGUAGUCAGCCGUGAGGAAUAUUUUUCAAUGGGCUUACGCCUGAACCAGCCAAGUCGCGUGAGGGAAGACUGCCCUCUGGGUUGUAAACCUCUUUUUUCAGGGAGCAACGCCGGCUACGUGUAGCCGGACUGAGAGUACCUGAAGCAACAGCAUCGUCUAACUCCGUGCCAGCAGCCGCGUUAAUACCGAGGAUGCGAGCGUUAUACGGAUUGAUUGGGCUUAAAGGGUGCGUAGGCGGAAUGCCAAGUCAGCGGUAAAAGCGCAGGGCUCAACAUCGCGCCGACGUUGAAACUGGCGUUCUUGAGUGGGCGAGAAGUAUGCGGAAGUCGUGGUGGAGCGGUGAAAGGCAUAGAUAUCACGCAGAACUCCGAUUGCGAAGGCAACAUACCGGCGCCCAACUGACGCUGAAGCACGAAAGCGUGGGUAUCGAACAGGAUUAGAUACCCCAGAAGUC
Molecule: ribosomal RNA, 460 nt
Filed under: uncultured bacterium
Lineage: Bacteria
Description: partial 16S ribosomal RNA
Rfam family: Bacterial small subunit ribosomal RNA
Source: RNAcentral